Molecule: ribosomal RNA, 440 nt
Filed under: uncultured Erwinia sp.
Lineage: Bacteria; Pseudomonadati; Pseudomonadota; Gammaproteobacteria; Enterobacterales; Erwiniaceae
Description: bacterial SSU rRNA
Rfam family: Bacterial small subunit ribosomal RNA
Source: RNAcentral
GGAAUAUUGCACAAUGGGCGCAAGCCUGAUGCAGCCAUGCCGCGUGUAUGAAGAAGGCCUUCGGGUUGUAAAGUACUUUCAGUGGGGAGGAAGGCGAUGAAGUUAAUAGCUUCGUCGAUUGACGUUACCCGCAGAAGAAGCACCGGCUAACUCCGUGCCAGCAGCCGCGGUAAUACGGAGGGUGCAAGCGUUAAUCGGAAUUACUGGGCGUAAAGCGCACGCAGGCGGUCUGUCAAGUCGGAUGUGAAAUCCCCGGGCUCAACCUGGGAACUGCAUUCGAAACUGGCAGGCUAGAGUCUUGUAGAGGGGGGUAGAAUUCCAGGUGUAGCGGUGAAAUGCGUAGAGAUCUGGAGGAAUACCGGUGGCGAAGGCGGCCCCCUGGACAAAGACUGACGCUCAGGUGCGAAAGCGUGGGGAGCAAACAGGAUUAGAUACCCGAG